This 492-nucleotide ribosomal RNA is filed under the name uncultured bacterium. Its description in RNAcentral is "partial 16S ribosomal RNA". It matches the Rfam family "Bacterial small subunit ribosomal RNA", at positions 29 to 507 of the family's 1533-position model. The record is from RNAcentral.
AGUGAACGCUGGCGGUAGGCCUAACACAUGCAAGUCGAACGGCAGCACAGUAAGAGCUUGCUCUUACGGGUGGCGAGUGGCGGACGGGUGAGGAAUACAUCGGAAUCUACUUUUUCGGGGGGGAUAACGUAGGGAAACUUACGCUAAUACCGCAUACGACCUACGGGGGAAAGCAGGGGAACUUCGGACCUUGCGCGAUUGAAUGAGCCGAUGUCGGAUUAGCUAGUGGGCGGGGUAAAGGCCCACCAAGGCGACGGUCCGUGGCUGGUCUGAGAGGAUGAUCAGCCACACUGGAACUGAGCCACGGUCCAGACUCCUACGGGAGGCAGCAGUGGGGAAUAUUGGACAAUGGGCGCAAGCCUUAUCCAGCCAUACCGCGUGGGUGAAGAAGGCCUUCGGGUUGUAAAGCCCUUUUGUUGGGAAAGAAACGCAGCCGGUUAAUACCCCGCUGUUCUGACGGUACCCAAAGAAUAAGCACCGGCUAACUUCGUG